Long non-coding RNA from Passer domesticus (house sparrow), 5606 nucleotides. RefSeq lists it as uncharacterized. The record is from RefSeq and is a predicted model, not a curated record. Lineage: Eukaryota; Metazoa; Chordata; Aves; Passeriformes; Passeridae. The transcript is spliced from 5 exons.
UCCCUGUCUCCCCAGUCUCCUUCCUGGGAGGGCUUUUCCUCCUCUUCCGUUUGCCCGCAGUCUGGGAAUCAAAGAAUCCUUAUCAGUGCUUCCUUCCUCUCAGAAAGCUGGAAUUCGCAGUGUCCACCCCAAAUGUCUAUUGGCCUAAGCAAAUUCUUCCAAAACCCCAUGGAGCUGAGAAAAGGGCUGGAUAUGGCAGGGGGCUGCAGCAGGCUGCCAACGAUGGAGGUUGGAGGAAAAUACUCCCCUUUACCACAGCUAUAAGGGGGUGGGAUAAAUACGUGGCUAUCUCUAGUUCCUCAUGUCUUAUUUCUACCUCUCUGCCUAACAUCUAUUUAUCUCUGGUUUUCCUCCCCACGUCUAGGGCAUGGCUUUGACAUUCAGUCAAACUAGUGAAGACACAUGAUUACCCAUUUUCUUCUACCCAAAAUAAUCUCUCUCACUCUCUCUGUCUCUCUCUGUGAAGCAAAUUGCUCUUUGCUGGUAAGGAAAGUAUUAAAGGUGCCAUAGCACCGGCAGCUCCUUCUUGGGGUACACUGUGGUGCUACAAAAGAUCUCUAAAAUUCGGCAGCAUCUCCAUGAAGGCAGCCUGGAUGGCUGAUGUUAGCAAGCAGUGGGGAAUGAAAGGUCUGAUUGGAAUCUGAGGGUGCCAGCCCUUGAGAUACUGAUUUGUAAAGAGUCAAAGCCCAUUUUGGUGGUGGUGCUGCUUUGUUGGGUCAACGUUCUGCUCCAGAAUUCCGUAUUUUAGGGCAGCAGCACAACGAAGCCUUGGGCAGCAUCUGCUGCACCUUUCCCAGUACAUGGGACUGUGAUUGGUGUUACCAGUCACAGCUAGAAGAUCUGCCUUCUGAUUCCCCAGUGGGAGACAAGCCAAACCAACUUGCAGAGCAAGCCAAAUAAUUGUUGAUUAGACACUUCUUUUAGCAUGGAGUGUUCUGCCCUUUUAGCUGUCCUGGUAAUAUAGGCCAAAUCAGUUACUAGAUUAAAAGGUUGUUGGAAUUUUUUAAAUGCUCUGACAUCAGCAGCCAACUCAGGAAUCUGGGCGGUUCCUUCAAUGACUUGAAUAUCCUACUCCCACUUCUGAGUGUUUGGAUCCUUCCAAGUGAUAACUGAUUUGUGUGAUUUUCCAGAGCCAUCUGUAAAAACUGUGAGGGCUUUAAGAGGAACCUUACCUUUUAGAGAAUUUGGGACUAGAUGGAAUGUUUCUUUUAGUAGCUUGUGUUUUGGAUAAUGAAUAGAGACUUGUCCGGGAUAGCUGUCUAAAUCAAACUGAAGGUAUCCAUUUGUCUGUAAUAGCGAUUCUAAUUUGUGUAGUUGAAAUGCUGGAUAAAUGUAUGUUGGGUCACACGCUGCAGGGGUUCGGAGGUGGUUCCUGUCUUUAAUGAUUAACUGAGCUAAAAGCUCUUGAGGGAUUGUAAUAGUUUUUUUGGUGUGGCAAAAAUACCCAUUCUACAAUUAACAAUUUUUCUGUAGAAGACGGGUCCCACUGAAAAAGCAGUGCCUGGAAAUGUGGGGAUUUACCAAGACUAGCAAACUGGGAGGUUAGAGAGCAGUCAGCGCGCUGUGCUUUUCGAGAUGAGAUAGCAGGUGCUACCUUUCGCAGCACGUCGUGGGCAUCUGGAGUUAAGAUGCGCUGGGAAGUCAGGUCAUAGCUCCCCUUCAGUAGGCUGAACAAAGGGCACAGCUCUUCUCUCGUGAGUCCAAGCAGUGGUCGGAUCCAGGUGAUGGAGCCACACAACUGUUGUAUGUCCCUUAGCAUUUGAGCCUUAUCUUUGAUGGAGAUAUUUUGGGGAAUAAUGGCUCACCCGCUGAUAAGGAAUCCAAGGUACUUCCACAGGGAGGUCUACUGGGUUUUUCAGGAGCAAUAUCAAAACCUGCAUCUUCAACAGCUGUCACAGUCUUUCUGAUCACUGGGUUAAGGUAAGUCUUUUCUUGGGAGCAAAUUAAAAUGUCGUCCAUAUAAUGCCGAAAUAUAGCUUCAGGGAAGGCUUUCCUGAUUGGAGAUAGAAUCCCAGCCACAAACAUUUGACAUAAAACAGGGGAAGUUUUCAUUCCCUGUGGCAAUGUGACCUAAUGAUAUCUUUUAAAGGGUUCUUGACAGUUGAUUGGUAUCGAAAAUGCGAAUUUGGGAGUGCGGGACAGAGAGGGAUGUUGAAUAAACAGUCUUUGAUAUCAAGGAUUGUGAGCUGCCAGUCCCUGGGAAGUACAGAAGGUGAGGGGAGCCCUUUUUGCAAGGAGCCCAUGUCUUCUAAAACAUCAUUUACUUUCCAAAAGUCUUGUAAUAACCUCCAUCUGUCUUUGCCAGGUUUUUUAUAAAAAGACAUGGGUCAGGAGCUAGUUGAUGGUACAAUGUGUCCUUUUAAUAAUUGUUCCUGUACUGGGGCAUGGAGCACUUCUAAUUUGUCAUUUGGAAGGCCCAAUGAUCCACCCACACAGGAUCAUACCCACAGGGAGGGAUCAUACCGUUUCCCACAGAUGGACAACAGCCAUAUUGAGUGGUUUAGUUUUCAUUUCUUUUUAAUUCCCAAAGUUUCAUUUUUUUCAACAUUGUAAUACAGCAUCUCUAUUCAAAUCAUUAUACUCACCUUGGUUAAUUAAAUAUUUAUUAAUUUAUUUUGCCCCCAUAAUAUCAGACAAAAGCAUAGGACAAAAGCAUAGGAAGAACAACAAGCAAUUACAGAAAUACAGUAUCUUCCCUGAAAAUCCCUUGGAAACCAUGUUAAAACAAGGGGAAGAACAUCAACUUACUAAAGAUAAAGACCCACAGCUCAAGAUUGUGCAUUGCAUGUUAGAAUGGCCAAAGAAGAAAUUAAAACAAGGUCUUCGCUGGCUGAAGCAUGGGUCUACCAGGAUGUGGAUUUGCGAAGUACUUUACAAUUACGCCCAAAAUAAAUUAAAUGCAGACUGGAAUUGCAGUAUGUGGAGGUCUGGUUUAAAUAUUGGAACAGCGAAAAGGAAGUAGAAACAGAUAAACCAAAUUCUCUCUGUAACGAUCAAUGAUAAAGACACAACGAGGAAAACCAAUCAACCAAGGUGGGACUCAUUAAAUUUCCUCCCCCCUACUGCACCUCCCAACGAACCAGCUGCAACUGCAGCUGAGUCAUUGGAGGCUUCAAUGAGUCAUGUAACUGAGAGGGCUGAAGAAAUUGAAAGUAGCAGUGGGACAUCAGAAGAAACGUAUAUUCUAUCAUUCUCCUCCAGGCAAAUUACAAAUUCAGCCAUGCAGGAAGUUCCAUCCAAUCAAGAAGGUCCAGCCUUCUUCACUUGAAGGAGAACCCUGGUAGUACAAAAAUGUUCCUUCUGCUCCAGCAGUAAAGAUAAAACAAAGGUGGCAUCCCUCAGAGAGGUCCCAAUGGAGGGUGCACAAGGUGGAAUAGGAUAUGUAAAUGCACCCCUCACCUCUUCAGAAGUGAGGCAUUUUAAAAAGGAAAUGGAGAUAUUAUUCAGUGACCCAGUAGGUAUGUCAGAAAAAGUUUACCAGUUCUUAGGCCCUAGGAUUUACCCUAGGGGAAAAUGAAAUUCAAUAAUGCAAACCCUUUUCUCUCCAGAGAAGAGAAAAGUUAUUUAGACUGCAGGGAUCAAUAUAUUGGACAGAGAACAUAAUUUAGGAACAACUGGAGAGAAGAAAUUACCAUUAACAGAUCCAGAAUGGAACCCUAACUCAGAUGAGGGAAGAAAAAGUAUAGCAGAAUACAGAACCCGAAUUGUAAGGGGAAUAAAAGAGGCAGUCCCCAGAGUUAAUAACAUGAAGAAAGCCUUUGGUAGCAAACAAUAAAAACAUGAGAGCCCAACUGACUGUAUAACUCGCUUAAAUAAUAACAUCCAAUUAUAUUUAGAAAGAGAUUUAGGUAGUGAAGGAGGGAAGACAAUGUUCUAGGUCCACUUUGGGUUACAUUCUUGGCCUGACAUAAAACAGAAAUUAGAGAAAUUAGAUGGAUGGCCAGAAAGAAGUUUAGAUGAGUUAUUAGCUGAAGCACAGUAAGUUUAUGCCAGGUGAAAUGAAGAGAAAAUGAAGACUAAAGCUAAGAUGAUGGCUGCUGUCCAAAUUCCUAAACCAAUUAGGCAGGAUGGGGAGAAUAUUCAAUUGAAGAAACCUAUUUGCUUUUAUUGUAAGAAAGAAGACCAUAUGCAAUCCUGCUGUUUUAAGACAUUGAGGGACUUAAGAGAUUCUCCAAGUGGAGAAUCAACCCUCAGAGAACUGAGGGGGUCAGGGGCUCUUCUUCUUGGGGCACAAAAACCAUCUUCAAGAGCCCUUGAUAAAAUCAAGGAUAGGACCCCUAGAACAAUUAAUGGAAUUUUUAGUAGACACAGGAGCAGAGACAACUUGUUUAACUGAAAAACCAAAUGCAUGUGCCAUAAGCAAAGACACUUUCAAUAUUUGUGCUGCUAAAGGGGAAUCCUUCCCCAUUCCCAUCAUUAAGAAUGUCACUAUAAAGGGUAAUGGACUAACCAGAAAGGGAGAUUUGUUUUUCUACCUCCAGCAGGUAACAACUUACUUGGCCAGGAUCUCCAGAUACCUUUGAAAGUUGGAGUAGUUCCACAAGAAGGAAGGAUGAAGGUCAUUUUGUUUACUUUAUCCACACAAGAUGAAAACUGAUUAAUCCUACAGUGUAAGCCCAACCAGAUUCUCCUUCUAGACACCUGUUUGCUUCCACCUGGGAAGAUCCAGACACUGGAAGGAAACAGCAGCUCACCUGGACCUGGUGACUGCAAGGGUACAUGGAGUCUCCCACACUCUUCGGUCAAGCCUUGGAGAGCCUGUUCAUUUCCUUUUCUCCACCCUCAGGAAUACAAGUAACACAGUCAUCAAAAGGGAACUCUGGAGAAACCAGAGGAAACAUCCUAGCAGACCAUGCUGCAAAGGAGGCUGCUUUUGAGGGGGAAUUAAAGGAGAAACAACAUGAAUAGAACCAAGGCCAGUUCCAGGUAGGACUUUCCUGCAUUUAGGUCCCUUCCUGCAUCCAGGUACACUCCCAUGAAAACCAAGGGGUCUGAACCCAGUAGGAAAACCAGAGAGGUUGAAAGGUCUGCACCACCUAUCAGAGAGUACCACGGCACUUCAAUCUUCCCAUUGACCCCUGAGCGAGGGAAGGGAAGGUUGAACUGGUAACUUGAUGCCACAGCAAUGGUGCAUACUAAUGAGAGAGCUUCCCAUCAAAAACCUCAGAGAUAUCAUCCCACCCCAGUGACAGCACACUCUGGGAAAGAAGAUCUUACCCCAUCAUCUACAUCAUCUAGCACCAAUCACCUGAGACUAUGGGGGCAGGACUGCAAGUACAGACUGAGGGGACCGAGAACAUCAAAGGGGCAGCCUGGCCUGAAGAGCUGUCUUUGCUGUCUUUUACUGUUCCUGGGACUGUGACUUAGCUACAGCAGGGGACCCCACACUGCAGAUUUCAGUCAAUAUCUCUUUUUAGAGACCUUAUUCCAGAUUUGAGGGCAGACUAAGUGCAUUCACUGCAAUGCCCUCGGGUUCUUGCCUUGGGGCCAGAUGCCAGAUUGGCUAGAGGUUUCCUCAAUCCUUGGGCCUGGGACUUUAUCCUUUUUUCUUUCUUUCCUUUCUUCUUUUUCCUUACCUCCCUUUUUGUUUUUCCCCUUUAAAUAAA